This 78-nucleotide non-coding RNA is filed under the name Vibrio sp. J2-31. Lineage: Bacteria; Pseudomonadati; Pseudomonadota; Gammaproteobacteria; Vibrionales; Vibrionaceae. RNAcentral also lists the same sequence under 1 other name. The record is from RNAcentral.
UUGAGCUCAGUGCAGUGAAAGUUGCACGCUGGGUUCUUAGGGAGACGGCACUUGGUAACAAGUGUCGUCCACCCGAAA